This 460-nucleotide ribosomal RNA is filed under the name uncultured bacterium. RNAcentral describes it as "partial 16S ribosomal RNA". It matches the Rfam family "Bacterial small subunit ribosomal RNA", at positions 338 to 795 of the family's 1533-position model. The record is from RNAcentral.
CCUACGGGAGGCAGCAGUGAGGAAUAUUGGUCAAUGGGCGGAAGCCUGAACCAGCCAAGUAGCGUGCAGGAUGACGGCCCUACGGGUUGUAAAAUGCUUUUAUACGGGAAUAACGCGCCUUACGUGUAGGGCUUUGCAUGUACCGUAUGAGUAACGACCGGCUAAUUCCGUCCCAGCAGCCGCGUUAAUACGGGAGGUCCGGGGGUUAUCCGGAUUUAUUGGGUUUAAGGGGAGCGUAGGCCGGUCGUUAAGCGUGCCGUGAAAUUUUGUGGCUCAACCAGGUGAGUGCGGCGCAAACUGGAGACCUUGAGCGCGCGGAAGGCAGGCGGAAUUCGUGGUGUAGCGGUGAAAUGCUUAGAUAUCACGAAGAACCCCGAUUGCGAAGGCAGCCUGCCGCAGCGUGACUGACGCUGAAGCUCGAAAGCGCGGGUAUCGAACAGGAUUAGAUACCCCAGUAGUC